UUUUUCACCAAUUUUCUGGAAGCUAAGUAUUUCUUAAUCUCAGCUUCACCUCCACAUCUUCGGCGGAAACUUGACUGAAGUUCACGUGUGGAUUCCUUUGUCAGAAGUAAUACAUCUUUAGCGGAGCUGCACACAUCCAAGAGCCGGAGAGAUCCAUCUAGUAGCUCUGCCACACCUUCUUCAUUCAACUCUCGGGUUAAUGUUUGUUGGCAGAGAGGCAAGAGAAGCAGCUUCUCAACACACUCAUACAGAUCUUGAAGGGCACUUAUUUUGCCACAAACUGAUGUUGAUAAUGUUGAUGCAGAUACUGAAGACUUUAUUCUGCACAAUUGGACAUCAACUUGUUGUAGAAAAGGAUGUGUUAUGCAAGGGAAGCUAUGGGACCGAGCAUGGUAGGCAGCCAUUUUUUUUAGAGAAAAGAGAGGGUUAGCAGAUGAAUUCUGAUUUCACUGUAAACAAUUUGCCUUGUGUCUUUUGCUUCCCCUCAUUAUAUAUUGCAGGUCAAUGGAGACAGAAAGAAUCUUUUUUCUUCUUCCUCUUCGUUAUCAAUUAUUAAAAGUGAAGAGUGUUCUGGAUUUAGGUAGUCUGUCAAUAAUGUUUAUGCAUGUCUCCCUCUUACCACAUCUCCAGGUCAGCUUUCCUAAAGAAUAUACAGACGCUUGAGUGGCACUAAGAGAGCCCUAGGACAAGAGACAAUAGCCUUACCAUCUCAUCUUUACUCACUGUAUGUUGUUGCUUUCGAUUUCUUAAAAUAAUUUCAUCUGCCAGUCCAUCUCCACAUGAAAAUGACACCAGUAAUCUCUAUCUAAUUGUACACAACCAUUUCCACCUAAAUGCAUCAAUAAUCCAUGUUAAGGACUGAUUGAAAAAUUUGAUGUUGCAUGUUCCUUAUCUGGCUUCUGCACAAGUAGUAUGCAAGUUAUUCAUAAUCUAAUAUCACCUUUUCUUUUUUUUUUCUUUCAUUGAAAAUGGCUUGAGGCUGAACUAGGCUGGAUAAAUCAGACUGUCUCUCCAAACAGAGAAAGCCAGAAUAUCUUCUUUAGUUUUUGUCAAUAUUUAAUCUUCUGCCUAUAGACAAUUCAGGUCAGUAGCAUGGAGGACGCAAAUAAUAUGCUUUAUAUGUAUCUCUGUAAAGUCAGGUUUUUCCCUCAAUGCGUGCCUGUUGGAUGUGCAUGGAUGCUAACUCCAGUUUAUUAAUAAACAAUUUACUUGAAUUUUCACUUUAAUCAGCAUUUCCUGCAAUAUUUAGAUGAGAUCUGCAUACUCGGCCAUAACAUACCUGACAAAAAUGGAGACAAAUGGUUAGUGAGGACAAUAACUCUGCCAUCCUCUAUAAAAUGUUAGAGUACUUUCACUUUUAUAAAACACAUUUUAGACAUGUUACCAAGUCUUGUGAAAAGAUUAUAGCUAGUGAUAGAAAAGGUAUAUUCAUCUUGUAAUAUCAGGUCUGAGUCUUUCGAGUUCUUGUGCAUCAAUGUGGAUGCUUAUGGAUUUUUAUAUCAAUCAAUUGAUUUUCCUCAAGACAUAUAUGAUGCUCUUAAAAGAAAAAAGGACAAAAAAAUAGUAUGGCUGCAAGAUCUUCUGAGAACCAGUGUUUAACUUUAGUAUGAAUUGAAGAGUACAAAUACUUUUAGUCUAUAUACAGAGCAUCAUGAUUUUUUUUUUUUGGCUAGUGAUUAGCGACAUUGAUAAAGGAGACUCUGGUCCUGAUCAACUUUCUGUAUAUGCACUCAAGUCCUUCUUCAAGAUCUUGAAUGCACAACUCUAAAUUUUUCAACUGCCCUUGCACAUGUUCAACAAGCAUGCUGUUGUCAUAUUUGCUCAUCCUGUGACCAUAAAGAGAUUGCAAGACACCAUCCACCUUAGCAAUUUCAUUUCCGUCGUUCUCUUCAUCCUUGCAUGCAACUAUUUUGUGGUGCAUCAGUUGGGAAACUACUGACCACCCUCUAGGCUUCAAUUGCGAAUUUGAGCCCGAGAUAUAGAGCAAGAAUGAGUUGAAGACGUUGAGGGUAAAGGUUUCCACCUCUGUUAACAUGCUAACCAUGCCACUGUCUCAUGGUCUUUGUCACAUUGUUUUUGCAUUCCCUUCAAGCUCCCCAUAGCCUUAUAGGUUUCUUUCUUAAUCAUCUUUCUUGAGGCUAAUAAUAUCUUAACCUCUUCUUCAACUCCACAUCUUGUCCAAAUGAUUGAAAAAGUUCUCAUGUGAAUUCCUUUGUUUGCAGCAAGGCAUCCUUAGCAGUGCUGCAGAUGUCCAAGAGCCUAAGAGAACCAUCCAGCAAGGCGUCCUUGUGCUAAUGUUCUUUGGGUGAGAGGUGAGAAGCAACUUUUCAACACAAUCAUGCAAAUCCUGAGGGCCAGUUAGAUUGUGGUUUAUUGAUGAGGACUGUGAUGAUGCUUCUUCUGAGACCCUUAUUCUGCAUAAGUUCUCUUCAACUGUGGGAGGAGAGGAUGUUGUCUGGAAGGCCAACUGUUGGAGCGAACAUGAUAGGCAGCCAUUUUUACCUACAAAAAGAGAAGGCAUAGAAAGUGAAUAUUGCUAAUUUCCUGUUUGCUUUCCUUCUGUUCUUUGCAUACCUUCAAUGCAUAUAUUAUAGGUUAAGAGAGACACAAGGAAUCUCUUCCACUUCAAUUAUGGAUCAUUAGUAGAAAAAUAUUGAUUCGGAUCUAUAUCCUAUCUCAGCAAUGUUUAUUUAUGCUUGUCUCCCCCUCAGCAGACCCCCAACUCGUCAUCACAUUACUAAAAACUCCUAGAAUCAAUCGUGUUGGUCCUAUAUAAUAUAGGAACAUUGCACGAGUGGCUGAAUAAUAUGCGUACGAAAUGACAUUAUGAUAAUCCUCAAUACUAAUUCAAACAUUUAGAGUGCUCAUCAGAUUGCUGUGCAGUGGGCAGGCAAGAUCUUCAUAAACGGGAUUACUUGUCUUCCUCUAAAAUAUCAAAACUGCAAAUAGCAUAUGAAAUGAAUUAUUAGUUGGCUAGGUGAAUAAGACUUUUUCUUCAAACAGAUGAAGGGCCAGGCUACUUCUUAACUGUGCAAGUGUCAUUAAUUUGUUUCUGGUAAGUAGUUGAUCAUUUGCUUGGAGAGAACUAGCAUCUUAGACCAUGUGGGAUCUGAGUUCACCAAGUGCAACAGAUCAUACACGGGAGAGAGAAGACUGUGUAUUUAUCGUCAAGAUUUACUUAUUAUUUAUCAAUUAAAACUUAAACUUACCAUGCUUGUAAUUUAUCUAAUCUGAACUCACACAUCGUCUGUGAUUUUUUUUUUUUUUUGAAAUAUAAAGCAUCUAUGGUUAUUCUUAACUAGAUGGUCGAAUACUUGAUGGUUGAAUUUUGUUUCUUUACCAACUGAAUGUAGAAUGAGAUAUUAGCCGUAACAUUUGCACAAACGAAUGUUACUGAGAGAGAAGAAAGACAAGAUAAUAGAAAAGAGAAUUUAUUGAAAAUAGUAUUUAACUGUAGUAUAAUAUUAUUACAUGUGUAAUUUCUCUAUGUACAGAUCCCAAAAUUGAGUAUGGUUAAGUCUUGACUCUCUUGCUAGGCUAGUGAUUGAAGAUAUUGAGGAAGGAAACUCUAGUUUUAAUCAAUCGUCUGUACAGGCAUUCAAGACCAUCUUCAAGUUCUUGAAUGUACUGCUCCAAAUCUUUUAGCUGGUUUUGUACAUUCUCAAGAAACAUAUGUUUAUCACGUCUGCUUUCCUUGUGACCGUAGAGAGAUUCCAAUGCGCCAUCUGCCUGCAUAAAUUUGUCAUUGCCUAAAACUUCUUCAGAUGCCACUCUUCUGUGGUGCAUCACUUUCGAAACCAAUGACCAACCACUUUUCUUUUUUUGCAGAUUAGACCCUGAGAUAAGAGACAAUAGGGAUUUGAGAGCAGCGGCAGUUACUGCUUCAACUUCUCUUAGCAUACUUACUACAGCCAGAGCUUCAUGGUCUUUGUUGAUGGGCGAGAUACUGCAUUUCUUUUCCACACCCUUCAAGUUUCCCAAAG
Molecule: long non-coding RNA, 3983 nt
Filed under: Carica papaya (papaya)
Lineage: Eukaryota; Viridiplantae; Streptophyta; Magnoliopsida; Brassicales; Caricaceae
Description: long non-coding RNA (CPAP_LNC003628)
Source: RNAcentral